Molecule: transfer RNA, 77 nt
Filed under: Dendropoma corrodens (ringed wormsnail)
Lineage: Eukaryota; Metazoa; Mollusca; Gastropoda; Littorinimorpha; Vermetidae
Description: tRNA-Lys
Source: RNAcentral
UUCUCGGUGGCUGAGAUACACAAAGCGCUAAACUUUUAAUUUAGAGACGGUCAGGAUUAAGAAUAGACUCCGAGAAA